GAGGAGUUCUGGAGAUUCAUAGCAGUUUCCAGAUAUUACCUUGAACAGACUUCAGGCGAAUAAAGGGAACUCAUUUUUUCCUUGGUUUUCCAAAAACUAAGGAGCCUCCCGAAUAUGAUUUCCAGCUGUGGUCUGGAGCUCUGUGGGUUGGGAGCACUGUCUUGUGUAACUCCCAUCAUUACGGCCCAUCCCGUGUCCUGACUCCGGAUGGUGGGACAAGUGAAGCCUUGUGCUCCAGGGUCUACAUGCUCCUUAACUCAGAUGAAAACAUAUUAGCCCCUCUCUGCCUGCUGGAGAAGAGGGAACAAAGAGAUGACUUGUUUUCAGUGACCUACUUGGGUCAUUUGCAGAGUUGGCUGGGGUCAAAUCUCCCCUGCUGCAGACCAGACAGCCUCUUCCCCAGCUCCUACUGUUUCCUCUAGAAAUAAUUGCAUUUGUUGUUUCCAACAGUAAAGAUUUCAUUAGUGACCAAAUGAAGCCCACCAAUGGCAAAAUCAAUCCAGGUAUACCUGUGGAGGGGCCCCAUUCCUAUAUCCCAUUACUUGUUGUUGUAUAAUAAAAUCAAAACCAAAGAAACCUGAGGCUAGAGAAGUACCACCAAGCAAAACCUGCAGUAAGCCUUUUCCAAGAUAAAGGAGUGCACUUGGUAAUGUUUCUUUUGUUUCCUUUUUGCACGUGGCUAUCUGAAUGGUUAGGAACACAAGUGACACACUUUUAUACUUUUUUUAUCUUUUUACAUCUGUAGAUGAGUUCUUAAUAGGUGCCAUUGUAUUGGACUUUUCCACUGAAACCCAAAACCCUGACUGAAUGGCUACACUCAUCUCCAGGGGUGUCCCGGUGCCUAGCAGGCGUAUCCAGCAGUGUGCUCCUGUUAGCAGAGCCAUUUGGCUGCACGUCUACAGGCUUUGCAGUGACUCUGGAGGAGUUCUGUUUCUAACAAAGGUAGAGCAAGAAACCUCUCCAGUUUAGAAUCUAUUUUGAGCCCGGAAGUUUGGGGGUGAUGUCCAUGGGAACCCCAGAGGUCUGGAAGCUCCUGUUGGGAAAGAAUAGCUUUGCUUUUUGGUAUUUUCCUGCCUCGUCC
Molecule: long non-coding RNA, 1081 nt
Filed under: Marmota monax (woodchuck)
Lineage: Eukaryota; Metazoa; Chordata; Mammalia; Rodentia; Sciuridae
Source: RNAcentral